UGAGGAAUAUUGGUCAAUGGGCGGAAGCCUGAACCAGCCAAGUAGCGUGCAGGACGACGGCCCUAUGGGUUGUAAACUGCUUUUAUGCGGGGAUAAAGUGGGCCACGCGUGGCCUUUUGCAGGUACCGCAUGAAUAAGGACCGGCUAAUUCCGUGCCAGCAGCCGCGGUAAUACGGAAGGUCCGGGCGUUAUCCGGAUUUAUUGGGUUUAAAGGGUGCGCAGGCGGCGCGCCAAGUCAGCGGUCAAAGUUCCGGGCUCAACCCGGUGUCGCCGUUGAAACUGGCGUGCUCGAGUGCGUGCGAGGAAGGCGGAAUGCGUUGUGUAGCGGUGAAAUGCAUAGAUAUGACGCAGAACUCCGAUUGCGAAGGCAGCUUUCCAGCGCGCUACUGACGCUGAGGCACGAAAGCGUGGGGAUCG
This 417-nucleotide ribosomal RNA is filed under the name uncultured Prevotella sp. RNAcentral describes it as "bacterial SSU rRNA". It matches the Rfam family "Bacterial small subunit ribosomal RNA", at positions 355 to 770 of the family's 1533-position model. Lineage: Bacteria; Pseudomonadati; Bacteroidota; Bacteroidia; Bacteroidales; Prevotellaceae. The record is from RNAcentral.